CCUGGGGAGUACGGUCGCAAGAUUAAACUCUAAAGGAAUAGACGGGGACCCGCACAAGUGGUGGAGCAUGUGGUUUAAUUCGAAGAUACGCGAAGAACCUUACCUAGCCUUGACAUUGAAGAAAUAGACCAGAGAUGGACUAGUGCCCUUCGGGGAAUCUGAAAACAGGUGCUGCACGGCUGUCGUCAGCUCGUGUCGUGAGAUGUUGGGUUAAGUCCCGCAACGAGCGCAACCCUCGUCCUUAGUUGCUAGCAGUUCGGCUGAGCACUCUAAGGAGACUGCCUUCGUAAGGAGGAGGAAGGUGAGGACGACGUCAAGUCAUCAUGGCCCUUAUGGCUAGGGCUACACACGUGCUACAAUGGGGCGUACAGAGUGUUGCGAUACCGCGAGGUGGAGCUAAUCACUUAAAGCGUCUCUCAGUUCGGAUUGGAGUCUGCAACUCGACUCCAUGAAGCUGGAAUCACUAGUAAUCGUAGAUCAGCAAUGCUACGGUGAAUACGU
RNAcentral lists this ribosomal RNA (501 nucleotides) under uncultured bacterium. RNAcentral's name for it is "bacterial SSU rRNA". It matches the Rfam family "Bacterial small subunit ribosomal RNA", at positions 872 to 1371 of the family's 1533-position model. The record is from RNAcentral.